UACGUAGGAGGCGAGCGUUGUCCGGAGUUACUGGGCGUAAAGGGUGCGCAGGCGGCGGUUCGCGUGGAUAGAUGAAAUCUCCUGGCUUACCUGGGAGGAUGGUAUCCAGACGGGAUCGCUUGAGGGUCGGAGAGGGGCGUGGAAUUCCAGGUGUAGCGGUGAAAUGCGUAGAUAUCUGGAGGAACACCGGUGGCGAAGGCGGCGUCCUGGACCAACACUGACACUGAGGAGCGAAAGCCAGGGGAGCAAACGGG
Molecule: ribosomal RNA, 254 nt
Filed under: uncultured bacterium
Lineage: Bacteria
Description: partial 16S ribosomal RNA
Rfam family: Bacterial small subunit ribosomal RNA
Source: RNAcentral